GGAUGUAAGGAUGAUCGGGCUUGCAACAUCUGUCACCCCACUGAUCACCAGGGUUGAUUUGGCUAAUCUGGCUGGCUAGAUGGGUGUCGCCUUCCUCCUUCAACUCUCCACAUUCUUUCCUCCCUAAGCUGCUCUAGGUCGAAGAGGACACCCUCCCCAGUAGAGGACUGGUCUUCAGUCAAGGAAAUACAAGUAGCUGCACUCCCUUAAACUUCCAAAUGAAAGAGAAUAAUUACUGCAGAGUCUACAUGGUAACCAAUAAUCUAAAGAAACAUGUCUGGAGGUGGCACACCCUAGCCUCCAAUAGCUGUACUUU
This 316-nucleotide small nuclear RNA is filed under the name Nannospalax galili (Upper Galilee mountains blind mole rat). Its description in RNAcentral is "7SK RNA (ENSNGAG00000007335.1)". The stretch from base 1 to 279 matches the Rfam family "7SK RNA". Rfam says of the family: 7SK was discovered as an abundant small nuclear RNA in the mid-70s but a possible function has only recently been suggested. Two independent studies have found that 7SK RNA binds the CDK9/cyclin T complex (known as elongation factor P-TEFb). P-TEFb activates transcription by phosphorylating the C-terminal domain of RNA polymerase II. Lineage: Eukaryota; Metazoa; Chordata; Mammalia; Rodentia; Spalacidae. The record is from RNAcentral.